RNAcentral lists this long non-coding RNA (566 nucleotides) under Pan troglodytes (chimpanzee). RNAcentral describes it as "long non-coding RNA NONPTRT008472". The record is from RNAcentral. Lineage: Eukaryota; Metazoa; Chordata; Mammalia; Primates; Hominidae.
AAACUAUACAAACUAGAAGGCAAUCUCAUCUUUUAAUACAUUCCUCACCCCCAACCUAUACUGUCCCCCUCAAUGGCCCUUAUUGCAGCACAUCCUGGCUCAGGGCCUUUGCAUGUGCUGUUGCCUCGAGCUGCAAGCCCUUACUCAGCCACCCCCAUUGCUCCUGCUCACCCCUUGACGGAGCACGACCUGGGCAGUGUGGCCCUCAAUUCAAAUCACACAUCCCACCCCCUGCUGGAUUUCCCACACAGCAGUUAACUUGCAGCAUACUACAUAUAUAUUUUCCUUAUCUUGUAAACUCUGUCUCCCUGCCCUAGAACUCAACUGCUGGAAGACAGGGUUUUCUGUUUCUUUUGUUCAGUGUGGACUCCCCAGCGCCUAGAGGAGGUGCUCAAUUACUUUUUGCUGAGAAUGAAAGUGAUGAAGGGGUUUCAGGGGGUGCUUUAGCGGGAUGAAAGGACAGGGUCCAGGAGCUGAGUGGGGCAGCAGAACAGCACAUGAGGGGACUGCAGGUGCGGCGCCAGGAUUCCUCAGCAGUCGUCCCCACCCGCACCUGCAGUCUCCUC